Molecule: long non-coding RNA, 675 nt
Filed under: Pan troglodytes (chimpanzee)
Lineage: Eukaryota; Metazoa; Chordata; Mammalia; Primates; Hominidae
Description: lincRNA
Source: RNAcentral
UCGUGCUGCCAGCAGCUUCCGCCUGCUGCGGUCCUGGCAAGCACCUCGGGAUCCCAUUCCUUCACAGGGACCCUAGCCAGUUAAAGCUGAUACAUUCCUGUGGGUCAACUAUGCAACUAACUCAGAUUUUGAGCAAACAAAGCUCUCAAGUUGGUGAUCCUCAGGAGUCUCUGCAUUAGUUGGACAGCUCUUCUGGAAUUAUCUUCUAAGUCAACUGUGGGUUGGGUAGGUGGCUCUGCUGAUUUUUCGCUGGACUUCCACAUUUGGGACCAGUUGGCUGUCAUCAGCUCUAGAAAGGGUGUGGCCGUUUUACAUUGGCUGUUUUCCUCACAUUCCUCAAGCAGGUACUGUAGUAAAGAACUGGAGAAAUACAGUCAGAUGGGAAGUAGCCCCUACUGUCAAGGAGCUUGCCAUCUAAUGGGGGAGACAGGCAAGUAAACCAAAGACUACACAGUGCAGUAUGAAUUUCCUUUCAUCUCUGGUAAAAGUCAGCUCUCUAACUACUGCAUCUCACAGCUGAACAGAUAACUGAUACCGUGCUUCCAGAAGAUUUUUCUAACAGUGUUUGCAGGCUAUAAAAUAGUGCUUUCACUUGGAAAAGGCUAGACGUGGUGGUUCAUGCCUGUAAUCCCAGCACUUUGAGAGGCCGAGGCACCAUGCCGGGAGAUAAGGAUC